CAGAAAGUAGUUUAUUUAAAAUAUUAGUUUUGGGGGCUGAAGAUGGGAUUAACUUCUUCUUUCUGA
This 66-nucleotide transfer RNA is filed under the name Macrobrachium bullatum. Its description in RNAcentral is "tRNA-Pro". The record is from RNAcentral. Lineage: Eukaryota; Metazoa; Arthropoda; Malacostraca; Decapoda; Palaemonidae.